This 220-nucleotide long non-coding RNA is filed under the name Elaeis guineensis (African oil palm). RNAcentral describes it as "long non-coding RNA (EGUI_LNC050947)". Lineage: Eukaryota; Viridiplantae; Streptophyta; Magnoliopsida; Arecales; Arecaceae. The record is from RNAcentral.
UCCCCUCUUUAAAAUCACCAUCCUCACCCUUCUCACAUGCUAGAUGGCUUCACGAUCUAUUGUCACAUCAAAUAUGAUAUAUCAUGGCAUAAAUUUUCAUGCUGAUAAAUGGUAGAUUUGAUCUUAUGAUUAUAGCAUUUUGUUGGUUGGUGUAGAUACACCCUCCAACAGAAUAAAUUACAAUGACGUGAAGCGGCAGGGGAAUCUUUCGGAAAUGGUC